UAGUACGGCGAGUGAACCGGGAAAAGCUCAAAUUUGAAAUCUGGCGUCCUCAGGGCGUCCGAGUUGUAAUCUAUAGAGGCGUUUUCCGUGCCGGACCGUGUCCAAGUCCCUUGGAACAGGGUAUCAAAGAGGGUGACAAUCCCGUACUUGACACGACUACCGGUGCUCUGUGAUACGUCUUCUACGAGUCGAGUUGUUUGGGAAUGCAGCUCAAAAUGGGUGGUGAGUUCCAUCUAAAGCUAAAUAUUGGCGAGAGACCGAUAGCGAACAAGUACCGUGAGGGAAAGAUGAAAAGCACUUUGGAAAGAGAGUUAAACAGUACGUGAAAUUGUUGAAAGGGAAACGAUUGAAGUCAGUCGUGACCGAGAGGCUCAGCCGGCUCUGCCGGUGUAUUCCCCUCGGUCGGGUCAACAUCAGUUUUGUCCGGUGGAUAAGGGCGGUAGGAAGGUGGCACCCACGGGUGUGUUAUAGCCUGCCGUCACAUACACUGGGUGAGACUGAGGAAUGCAGCUCGCCUUUAUGGCCGGGGUUCGCCCACGUCCGAGCUUAGGAUGUUGACAUAAUGGCUUUAAACGAC
RNAcentral lists this ribosomal RNA (577 nucleotides) under Papiliotrema fonsecae. RNAcentral's name for it is "partial large subunit ribosomal RNA". It matches the Rfam family "Eukaryotic large subunit ribosomal RNA", at positions 81 to 648 of the family's 3401-position model. The record is from RNAcentral. Lineage: Eukaryota; Fungi; Basidiomycota; Tremellomycetes; Tremellales; Rhynchogastremaceae.